This 408-nucleotide ribosomal RNA is filed under the name uncultured bacterium. RNAcentral describes it as "bacterial SSU rRNA". It matches the Rfam family "Bacterial small subunit ribosomal RNA", at positions 94 to 518 of the family's 1533-position model. The record is from RNAcentral.
AGUGGCGGACGGGUGAGUAACGCGUGGGUAACCUGCCUCAUACAGGGGGAUAACAGUUAGAAAUGACUGCUAACACCGCAUAAUAUAGCGAAACCGCAUGAUUUUGCUAUCAAAUAUUUAUAGGUAUGAGAUGGGCCCGCGUCUGAUUAGCUAGUUGGUGGGGUAAAGGCCUACCAAGGCGACGAUCAGUAGCCGGCUUGAGAGAGUGACCGGCCACAUUGGGACUGAGACACGGCCCAAACUCCUACGGGAGGCAGCAGUGGGGAAUAUUGGACAAUGGGGGAAACCCUGAUCCAGCGAACCGCCGCGUGAGUGAAGAAGUAUUUCGGUAUGUAAAGCUCUAUCAGCAGGGAAGAUAAUGACAGUACCUGACUAAGAAGCCCCGGCUAACUACGUGCCAGCCGCAGC